RNAcentral lists this ribosomal RNA (253 nucleotides) under uncultured bacterium. RNAcentral's name for it is "partial 16S ribosomal RNA". It matches the Rfam family "Bacterial small subunit ribosomal RNA", at positions 524 to 776 of the family's 1533-position model. The record is from RNAcentral.
UACGUAGGGUGCGAGCGUUGUCCGGAAUUACUGGGCGUAAAGCGUGCGCAGGCGGUUCCGCAAGUCAGAUGUUAAAUCCCCGGGCUUAACCUGGGAACCGCAUUUGAAACUACGGAGCUAGAGUGUGUCAGAGGGGGGUAGAAUUCCACGUGUAGCAGUGAAAUGCGUAGAGAUGUGGAGGAAUACCGAUGGCGAAGGCAGCCCCCUGGGAUGACACUGACGCUCAUGCACGAAAGCGUGGGGAGCAAACAGG